CAGUAGCCGCGGGAAUACAGAGGGUGCAAGCGUUAAUCGGAUUUACUGGGCGUAAAGGGCGCGUAGGUGGUUAUUUAAGUGAGAUGUGAAAGCCCCGGGCUUAACCUGGGAACUGCAUCUUAUACUGGGUAACUGGAGUGCAGUAGAGGGUAGUGGAAUUUCCGGUGUAGCGGUGAAAUGCGUAGAUAUCGGAAGGAACACCAGUGGCGAAGGCGGCUACCUGGACUGAGACUGACACUGAGGCGCGAGAGCGUGGGGAGCAAACAGGAUUAGAUACCCCCGUAGUCCCUGUCUCUUAUAC
Molecule: ribosomal RNA, 301 nt
Filed under: uncultured bacterium
Lineage: Bacteria
Description: partial 16S ribosomal RNA
Rfam family: Bacterial small subunit ribosomal RNA
Source: RNAcentral